RNAcentral lists this small RNA (159 nucleotides) under Arabidopsis thaliana (thale cress). Its description in RNAcentral is "ATSL202200". The record is from RNAcentral. Lineage: Eukaryota; Viridiplantae; Streptophyta; Magnoliopsida; Brassicales; Brassicaceae.
CUUGUUUCAAGUCACUAAGCUUGACUCUUAGAGAGCUCAGUCAAAAAAAAGGUUGAAGAGAGGAACAAAGGAGUCCUCAUCUUCAGUGGUUGAAUUUUCAGUUCCUGAAUCAUAUUCUGCAUCCUCUCUUGACAUAUGGUAGGAUGAGUACUCAUUUAA